RNAcentral lists this ribosomal RNA (465 nucleotides) under uncultured bacterium. Its description in RNAcentral is "partial 16S ribosomal RNA". It matches the Rfam family "Bacterial small subunit ribosomal RNA", at positions 28 to 507 of the family's 1533-position model. The record is from RNAcentral.
GACGAACGCUGGCGGCGUGCUUAACACAUGCAAGUCGAACGGAAAGGCCCUGCUUGCAGGGUACUCGAGUGGCGAACGGGUGAGUAACACGUGGGUGAUCUGCCCUGCACUUCGGGAUAAGCCUGGGAAACUGGGUCUAAUACCGGAUAGGAGCCAUUUUUAGUGUGAUGGUUGGAAAGUUUUUUCGGUGUAGGAUGAGCUCGCGGCCUAUCAGCUUGUUGGCGGGGUAAUGGCCUACCAAGGCGGCGACGGGUAGCCGGCCUGAGAGGGUGGACGGCCACAUUGGGACUGAGAUACGGCCCAGACACCUACGGGAGGCAGCAGUGGGGAAUAUUGCACAAUGGGCGCAAGCCUGAUGCAGCGACGCCGCGUGGGGGAUGACGGCCUUCGGGUUGUAAACUCCUUUCGCUAGGGACGAAGCUUUUUGUGACGGUACCUAGAUAAGAAGCACCGGCUAACUACGUG